RNAcentral lists this unclassified non-coding RNA (375 nucleotides) under Hevea brasiliensis (rubber tree). The record is from RNAcentral. Lineage: Eukaryota; Viridiplantae; Streptophyta; Magnoliopsida; Malpighiales; Euphorbiaceae.
GGGAAAGCAAGAAUUUCAAAUCCUAAGAUGCAAAUUACACAAUCAAAAAAUGGAAAAAAAUUAUUUCACAAUGGUUUAAAAUGUUAAAGUUAGUUGCAGAAAUGUUAAUAGCGAUUGUAAGCUGAACAUCACUAACCCGUAAUCUCUCUCCUGUAUAUUUGAAUUAAGUCCACUAAUUGUUUCUCAAAACGAUGAACAUUAUUGCUAUGACUUUUAAAAGGUUAGAUGCGAGCAAAGAUCUUGUAAAUUUUUUAUCACUACAACGUAAAGGAUAUCAUGUGGGUAAAAUGAUAGAGGAAACUUGAGUGCAUAGUAAUGCAGGAUAUUUUUUAGUGAAAAAGUAAGUCGAGCAACAAUGGAAGCAUGCUGGUGUGA